UUAUCAGACUUGUUGCAAGGUUGUUCUAACAAGUCUGAUACAGUCAUGAUAUAACAAGAAUGUUACAAGGUUGAUGACACAAGGUUGUAACAAUAUUGUUAUGUCAUGACUGUAUCGGACUUGUUGGAACAACCUUGCAACAAGACUGAUAA
Molecule: non-coding RNA, 152 nt
Organism: Paramuricea clavata
Lineage: Eukaryota; Metazoa; Cnidaria; Anthozoa; Malacalcyonacea; Plexauridae
Source: the annotation of a GenBank genome assembly